Molecule: long non-coding RNA, 2091 nt
Filed under: Pan troglodytes (chimpanzee)
Lineage: Eukaryota; Metazoa; Chordata; Mammalia; Primates; Hominidae
Description: long non-coding RNA NONPTRT011195
Source: RNAcentral
AUUAUUUGCAAGGGGCACCGUAUUACUUGAAAGACGGAGAUACUAUUGGUGUUAAGAAUCUCCUGAUUGACGACGAUGAUGAUUUCAGUACAAUCAGAGAUGACACUGGAAAAGAAAAGCAGAAACAACGGGCCCUGGGGAGAAGGAAAAGUGUCUGUGUCUCCGCAGCCAAGAAGCCCUCCACGAGCAGAGCAGCUACAUCCUCUCCAGUGCAGAGACGCCUGCCCGGCCCCGAGCCCCGGAAACUUCUCUCUCCAUCCACGUGGGGAGCUUCAGAUAACCGUGCCGCUGCACGGCUCCACUCCCGAUGAACUCUCCGGCUGAUGCCACAAACGUGGGUUUCCUGGGCAUGGGGACUGGCUGCCUGGCGCCUCCAAUCCCAAAUCCUCUGCUUCCUUUGAGCACAGGGACGGCUCCUCUGAGGCCUGGCCAGUGCAUGUAGUCACUUAGCUCUGCAACACGUGGCAGCCACGGGGGCUGGUGCAGCUCUGGACCCAGCUGCCAGUAGGUGCUGGGCUCUCUCACACAGCGCCUGGCCCCAGCCGCCUUUUUUUUUCUUUUAACCAGAAAAUGCACAACGUAUGCGUGAACCGCAGGUAUGGAGGCAGCGGCAUGCCGUCGCCCCGCUGUGGGAGGUGUGUGGGGUCAGCCCAGCCACUUACCUCUGUGUUCAGAUGACUCUCGUUCGCCCUGACCGGGUUCUCACAGCAUCUCAGGCCACUGCGCCACCGCGCUGGUGCUGAGCAGAAGCGGGGUCUGCUUUCAGGACUUCAUUUCCCCCACUCGUUCUGGCCGCACAUGCUCCAUGUCUGCCCUUUGGUCUGAGUUAAAACUGCGAUGCUGAAAAGUGCGAGCUCUUUCCCCGAGGAGGAGCCACACAGGGCGGCCUCCGAGGGUGAGUCGCUCUGCUAAGCAAGGGCGGCCGCUGCACGUCAGCCCGCAGGCCGAGGGUCCAGCUUAUCCUGGGUGCUCUGUGAUCAGAAGGUCCUUGGAUCCCGAGGACUGCGGCUGCUGCCGUCCACAGCGCCUCAGCCUCUCUUCCUGUGUGGAAGCGGGGCAGGCAGGGCUGUGGCAGACAGGCCUGGCAUAGCCCAGGUUCCAGGUGUCCUGGGCAGCCUGACUGGGUUCCUGAGUAGCCUCAAUGAAAACACCUGAGAAAAAGAAAAUGUAAACUAAGGAAGGGUUUUUCCACUUAAUCCAACCCAGAUUUCUAUUCAACUUAAAGGAUUUAAUUGGCAUUUGUGAGAAAUAAUAGCACCUGUGUCACUGAGUUGAUUGAUUUGGGACACAGACGGUUGACUUUCCCAGACAGCAGCUUAGCGGAAAGCAGCAUCCCGAAGACGGUGUCGCAUGUCCUGAGCCUGCUUGUCACCUGGGCCUCACGGUUUCUCGUCAGCCCCGUCACUGAUGGGAAGCAGCACUGAAGUGUGAGGGCAGAAAGGACACCGCUGGAGUCAGGCGCUCCCCUGCCUGUGACCCUUUUCCAACAAGCUGAUGCUGAGCCAGCGGCCUGCUCUGUCCCGCAUACUCCUCCCAACAGUCCAAACCACUACCAGACAGAAGCCACAUCGCUUCUGCACACGUGUCUGAGAGCGUCUGCCAUAGACACUGUGCGUUUCCGUGAAGCACUGCGCCCUAAGGACCCAACUCUGACUAGCAGCUGCCUCCCACUCCCAAACACUAACCCCGCUCAGGAGACUCGCACUGGGUGUAGACUGCGUCUUUGCAGAGGGAGAUGAUAGAGGCUUCUGAUGACGCCAGAGCUGUAAGUGUCGUGAUGAGCUGGGCGCCCAGCCCUUCUUAAGCUGUUCUGUUUCUGUGGCUUUAACUGACAUAUUUCUGUAGCAUCCGCCUUCAUCUCAUCUCAGCGUAAUGAAAUAUUAAUGAAAUUGCUGAAAAGCUUUGCCUUCGAGAGGCCAGAAGCCUCGCGGAAUGUCUGCAAGUCCAAAGACGCGUGUGGGUUGUGCCCUGAAGUGCCGUCCAGCAGGCGCGUGCGGCCGGGCCGGCCUGUGCGUGUGGCCUUUGCCUUCUUCCCUUUCUUCCUGUUUUCUGUUUUUUUAAUUUGGGGAUUGAGAAAGCUGUACGAUUUUG